GAGUUUGAUCCUGGCUCAGGAUGAACGCUAGCGGCAGGCUUAACACAUGCAAGUCGAGGGGGUAUAGGUUUUUCGGACCUAGAGACCGGCGCACGGGUGCGUAACGCGUAUGCAAUCUACCUUUUACAGAGGGAUAGCCCAGAGAAAUUUGGAUUAAUACCUCAUAGUAUUAUGAUAAGGCAUCUUAUUAUAAUUAAAGUUCCAACGGUAAAGAUGAGCAUGCGUCCCAUUAGCUAGAUGGUAAGGUAACGGCUUACCAUGGCGACGAUGGGUAGGGGUCCUGAGAGGGAGAUCCCCCACACUGGUACUGAGACACGGACCAGACUCCUACGGGAGGCAGCAGUGAGGAAUAUUGGUCAAAUGGGCGCAAGCCUGAACCAGCCAUGCCGCGUGCAGGAUGACGGUCCUAUGGAUUGUAAACUGCUUUUUGUACAGGAAGAAACACUCCCUCGUGAGGGAACUUGACGGUUACUGUAAGAAUAAGGAUCGGCUAACUCCGUGCCAGCAGCCGCCGUAAAG
RNAcentral lists this ribosomal RNA (519 nucleotides) under uncultured Flavobacterium sp. RNAcentral's name for it is "bacterial SSU rRNA". It matches the Rfam family "Bacterial small subunit ribosomal RNA", at positions 9 to 525 of the family's 1533-position model. The record is from RNAcentral. Lineage: Bacteria; Pseudomonadati; Bacteroidota; Flavobacteriia; Flavobacteriales; Flavobacteriaceae.